RNAcentral lists this long non-coding RNA (1405 nucleotides) under Sus scrofa (pig). Its description in RNAcentral is "lncRNA (ENSSSCG00015044667.1)". Lineage: Eukaryota; Metazoa; Chordata; Mammalia; Artiodactyla; Suidae. The record is from RNAcentral.
AUGGCAAGGGAGUGGCUCAAAUUCUUCACAUUGCCCCUGCUCUGCCUGCACCCCCACCCCCACCCCAGGCAAGCGGUUUCUACAGGAUUAUGUCAUUUUUGGUGGAAAGGAUCAAAGAAGUGGAAGGUGGAAAAUCAAUGGAAAGAGUGGAGAGCGCUGAUGCGAAAAGAGCAAGAGCCAGACAAGAAUACCGGGAGAGAGAAGAACAAAGCUUUUCCCUCUCUGCUUCUGGAAUGUAAAUAUUAUCUCAGUUUGAAGAUAGAAGAGGGGCAAAGAACAACAGAUGCUUUCAUUCAACAGUACUUACCAAGUGGCCACUUUGAAUUAGGCCCAUAUGAAUCCAGUCAAAGCACCAUCAGGGGCUGCCAAAACUAGAAGAUCCCAGAUGUCCUGGUGCAGGAGGUGAAUAUCUUCUCAACUGAAGACAUGGAAACAACUUAAAUGUCCAUCGACAGAUGCAUGGAUUAAGAAGAUAUGGUAUAUACACACAAUGGAAUAGUACUCAGCCAUAAAAGAGAACAAAAUAAUGACACUUGCAGCAACAUAUAUGGAACUAGAGACUCUCAUACUUAAGUGAGGUAAGUCAGAAUGAGAAAGACAAAUACCAUAUGAUAUCUCUUAUACAUGGAAUCUAAUAUAUGGUACAAAUGAACCUUUCUACAGGAAAAAAAACUCAUGGACAUAGAGAAUAGACUUGUGGUUGCCAAGGAUGGGAGAAGGGAGUGGGACAGACUGGGAAUCUGGGGUUAAUAGAUGUAAACUAUUGUCUUUGGAACAGAUAAGCAAUGAGAUCCUGCUGUAUAGCACUAGGAACUCUUACCUAGUCACUUAUGAUGGAUCAUGAUGGAGAAUAAUAUGAGAAAAAGAAUGUAUAUACGUGUGUAACUGGGUCACUUUGCUGUACAGUAGAAAAUUGACAGAACACUGUAAACCAGCUAUAAUGGAAAACAUAAAAAUCAUUAAAAAAAAAAAAAAAAGAUCAGACAUGUCAAGAGCUAACCAGAGUACAGCCCAGCAGUGUUAAGUCCCCGGAACCUCUGCAAACCUCAUCUGAAUGCACUACUAAUUUCAUUUCUUACCCUAGUGGUCUCUUCAGCCUUUCUCAAACUUUGUCUUACACUCUUCCCUUUGCUGACAGUGCGUUUCUUCUCACUCAACUACUGAAGGGAAAAAAAUCCGCCUUUCAAGAUCGAAUCUAAAGGACACAUCUCCUCUGGUCCUCUCUUCCAGUUCCCUUGAUCCCAGUAAGCCCACUGUUGCUUACUCGUACCUUGCUGGUUACAAGGUACAGAUGCACCAUAAGUACAUACUUGCCUGCCAUGCCCACUAGACUGUGAAACGCAGUAAUUCUUAAACCCUCAGCACUUAGCUUGGUGCCUGGCACAUGAUAGGUGGUUAAUAUAUA